GUGCCAGCCGCCGCGGUAAUACGUAGGUGGCAAGCGUUAUCCGGAAUUAUUGGGCGUAAAGCGCGCGCAGGUGGUUUCUUAAGUCUGAUGUGAAAGCCCACGGCUCAACCGUGGAGGGUCAUUGGAAACUGGGAGACUUGAGUGCAGAAGAGGAAAGUGGAAUUCCAUGUGUAGCGGUGAAAUGCGUAGAGAUAUGGAGGAACACCAGUGGCGAAGGCGACUUUCUGGUCUGUAACUGACACUGAGGCGCGAAAGCGUGGGGAGCAAACAGGAUUAGAUACCCUGGUAGUCCACGCCGUAAACGAUGAGUGCUAAGUGUUAGAGGGUUUCCGCCCUUUAGUGCUGAAGUUAACGCAUUAAGCACUCCGCCUGGGGAGUACGGCCGCAAGGCUGAAACUCAAAUAAAUUGACGG
RNAcentral lists this ribosomal RNA (413 nucleotides) under uncultured bacterium. RNAcentral's name for it is "bacterial SSU rRNA". It matches the Rfam family "Bacterial small subunit ribosomal RNA", at positions 505 to 916 of the family's 1533-position model. The record is from RNAcentral.